This 7044-nucleotide long non-coding RNA is filed under the name Mus musculus (house mouse). Its description in RNAcentral is "predicted gene 45470". Lineage: Eukaryota; Metazoa; Chordata; Mammalia; Rodentia; Muridae. The record is from RNAcentral.
GACACUCCCUCAGCACCGGUUUCCUGGAGCUCAGCAGCUCCUUCCUGGCAGAACCUGAGGCAACCCUGCAAAGAAGAGAAACCCCCGCACCCUAUCCUUUACCCAACAAGGAAGGCAACCAUCCAGAAACAAACCAAAACAAAACCGAACAACCCAAACCAUCCAAGAUAGCCCCUCUUCUGCUUGGAUGCUCUCCCUAAGGUAUCUUAUUGUUUGAGAUAGUCUUUCUAUAUGUUGCCCAGAUUGGUCUGGACCUCCAGAUCCUUCUGCCUCAACCUCCCCAGUGCUGGGAUUACAGAUCUGUGCGCCACUAUUCCCAACUCUAAGACUCUUUUUGUGAAGCCACCAACCAGAGGUGGCUGGCAUCCUUUUCUCUCCCAGCUGAUGAGAUCCGUCCCCUUCCCUUUCCUCAAUUUCGCUCACCCUCUGUCCCUGUCUGCUGUUUCAGUUCUUCUUCUUUUCAGUUACUGGAGACACCCGCUUGUUUCAGGAGUCACUCUAGUUUGACAUGGCAUCGUGUAGCUUGGGAUGCUGAGGGCUUCUGGUUUCCAUCUUCCUCCUGCACUGCCCAGUCCACACACCUUUCUCCUAGAAAAUUUCUAGAAAAGUCCCUUCAAAUUCUGAAGUGAUAGACACAUUAAAAUGAGAGGAUGGAGUUUUGGAGAGGGAGGGGUGUAUCUCGGUGGUAGAGUGCAUACUUAACAUGCUUGAGGUCCAGCACAGAAAGAGAGAGAGAGAGACAGAGACAGAGAGAGACAGAGAGAGAAAGGAUGCAUUUGAGGCUGUCUAGCACAGUGGUUCUCAACCCGUGGCUUGCAGUCCCCACCGUGUUCACAUAUCAGAUAGAUAUCCUGCAUAUCAGAUAUUUACAUCACGAGUCAGAAUAAUAGUAAAAUUACAAUUAUGGAGUAGCAACUAAAAUAAUGUUAUGAUUGGGGUCACUGCAACAUGAGGCACUGUAUUAAAGGGUCGCAGCCUGAGGAAGGGUGAGGACCACAGGUCUAUCGCCACACUCAGUUAUCCAAAGCUAAUGUUUGUCACCUUCCCCAUGGUAAAGAGUUCUCAUCCACUUGCUGGAGAUUUCUUCAUAAGAAACUAGAGUCGAGGGAGUCAUGUGUCUGCAUGUGAACGUGUGGGUGCAUCAGGUGUCUCCCUCUACUAUUUUCCAGUUUAUUACCUUGAGACAGGGUCUCUCACAGGGCCAGAAAGCUUUUGCGUUGGCUAGGACGGUGGAGUCUGGGCUUUUGAGAUUCGCCUGCCUCUGCUUCCCAAGGCUGGCAUCGUGGGUGUGUGCGGCCACAUCCACCUCUUCACUUCGGUGCUGGGGAUUUGAACUCAGUGCCCCUGGCUUGCAGAACAAACACUCUUACUUACUGUGCCAUCUCCCGGGGCCCUCGUACUGCAUAUCUGGAGUGCAUAAAAGGAUAAGCCUGGUAUUUUAAUGCCUCUGAAGUUUCUUAUACAGUAAGAUCAGCGCCUCUGAGCCCCCUCCCUUCACCCAGACUUAUAGGACCUGACCCUGUCAUCCAAUCUCCCAGUCAAAAUUUUUCCAAAUUGGAUGUGGGCAUGAAAGGCUUAGAAAUAAGCCUCUGGGAGUUAGGGAAAUGGCUAAAUGAGUGAAGUGCUUGCCUUGCAAGCAGAAGGACCUGAGUUUGAUGAUUCCUGGGAUGCGAAUAAAGAAGCCUGAAGUGAUGGCCUUCACAUGUAAUACCAGGGUUAGGGACGCCUGUCAAGACUGCUCCAUGAGUUGUCUCAUUUCCACCCCGAAACAAUGGGGCAAAAGAGAGAAAAAAACAAAUAUAGUGGAAAAUGCCUCCAGGGUACCCCCCUGGCAUGUUCUUUUGAGUAGCUCAAUAUUUUAAAAGUGUCCUCUAUAGCCACUGGUCCAGGCAAUCCCCACGGGAGGCUGAACCAGGGGUUGGGAGUCAGAAAGGUUGGAAGGGGAAGAGAGAACCUAAAAUUAUCCCUGAGGAAAAAGGGCCAGCUGGGCUCCCAGGGACUCAGCAGCUCACUCACCCAUGAGCAGGACUGUCAGGGGCUCUCAAGCAAAGGUUUUCCCUGUCCCAUGGAUGCAGCCGUCAGAGCUCCCUUCUGCUGCCCCUGCCCCUGCUCCUGUCCCAGCCAUGCCAGGGUGGUGUGAAGGCUGCCUUUGGCUGUGGCUUCUUGCUGGUCAUCAGGGUGAUUGCACCCAAGUCAGGGUUUUGCAACACCCCAGAGCGCUGCCAGUUAUCGCAAAGGGGUGUCAUAAGAUUCUCAGCAAGCAAUCUCUAAAACAAAUACAUGCCAUUUGGCUCUUCCCCCCACCCCACCCCCCUACCCCCAGGACAUCAGAAUAGGUUGGGGAAAGAUAUCUCCCCCAAGACAUACUCAAGGGCCAUCUCUGCUUUAGUCAAGGACCAAGCCCUGUUACUUGAAGAAAAUGUGCAAAAAUGUUUAUAGUUUUGAAAAAGAGCAAGAGUCCCCAGUUGUAAGAACAUACCGGUGUGUGGCAAAUGAUUAGUCCUGUAACCAAAUAUUGUGAGAAUUAAUGUGCUAGACCCCUGUUCCCAAAUGUGCCUCCCCCAUUCCUGGGAGGCAGCAGAGCCAUGCCCAAGUACUCUGCCUCCUUCCUCGCCGCUCCUAUUGUUUUGCUGUUUCGGUCUUUGAGAUUAUUCUCUCUCUCUCUCUCUCUCUCUCUCUCUCUCUCUCUCUCUCUCUCUCUCGUAAUUUUAUUGUAAGUUUUUAACAAACAAUGUAGUCAUCUUGUUCAACCAUCACAAUAUAGAAAAUGUAGAUAACAGAAAGUGACUUCCAUCCCGAGGUUCAAUUCCUCAACAAGUAACUGCUAUCGGAUCUUAUUAAUCUUUCCAAUAACAUUUUAUUGAGAGAUAACUCAGGAUGUAAAAGCAUACUCUUUUUGCCUUUGUUUUCCACAUGACUGUAUCUCAGCCUGUGCUUUUAAGUUUUAACAUAACUAUAUGACCUUAACUUAUGACCCUUCUAGAUGAACACACAAAAGAUACCCAUUUUUAGUAUGAAUGGACAUAAAACUAGUCAUCUACAAGUGGACACCUGAUUUCCUGUCUUUAUCCAUAGAUGAUGUUGCAGUGUAUAAUUAAUACCCUAGUCCUUUCAUUCUUUUGCAGAUGUAUUUGUUUCUAUGAACAGAAUUGUUAUAAAUAAGGCAUACAUACACUUGUACGUUUAGAAGUCAUUGCUCCAUUUUUCUCCCCAGACAAUAUGUCUGUUUCCAACCUCACUAUCACUUUUGGUGGCCAGCUGGGGGUUGCAAGCCAGUGGCCUGAUGCCUCUGGGAAGCCAUCCUAAUGGCUAGGCCUCCGGGAAUUAGCAUUGCCUGUUCUGUAGAGGUCGUCCAACUCUGGAUAGACACAUACAUUGCCCAGAGAGAGCGUUGCUCAGGCCCAGUCCCCCAUGACCUUUGUUUUAUGCCCUUGGAGGCAAUCAUAGUGAGUGUGGGCCCCUAAGAUGCUGAUGGUGGACCCCCAAGUUAGAAGCCCCAAGGAUGUGUCUGGAAGAAUAGCAAUCUGUGGUGAGCAGAGGCAGCAGCCACUUGGUGGACAGAAGUUCUUAAAGUAGGAAGUUUUGUCCUGGAGAGAAGGCAGAAGCUGUGGUUCCAUGGACAUUGACACGGGGUGCUUGUAUAUGUAUUUACACGACACGGCAGUAAGAAACCCACGAAGGCUUAUGUGACUGUGGCCCGGUACCUUGUCUAAGACCACGUAUGUUAAAGGUGAGUGUGUAUAGUACAUAUAUGUGUGUUUUCUAUUUUUUGGUGCUUGGGCUUGAACCAAAGCAUACUGAAGUGACUUAUGAAUAACAGCUAGGACUCUAGUCACAAGGCUCUGGGUCUCAUCAAGUAUUUCAUAAACUGGACAGGGCAACACAGGUUCCAAGAUCCCAGCAACCAAGAGCUAAAAGUAACAGACCUGAAGCUUAGAAUAUUCUUGACAAGACACCAUGUUUGAUGCUGGUCUGGGAUACUUGAGGCUCAGUAUUUAAAAAAAUCUGGGGGUGGGGGGAGAACACUUUAAAUGGGUUUCCCUUCUCCUUUCUAAUGGUGCUGGCGAUUUAUGCAUGCUGGGCGAGGCUUCUACCGCUAGGUUAGCCCCAGCUCUUGUUUUGCCCUUUUGUUUUACACAGGUCUCACUAAGUGACCAAGGUUUGGCCUUGGAAUCACUUUGCAACCUAGGCAGGGCUUGAGUUUAUCAUCUUCCUGAGGAGAUUUCAUUAGUAGCUGAGAUUACAGGGUACCACACUCGCCUCUCAAACAGUCAUUAAAGAUCAAAUCCACUAGCAACACCUUAUAUAGUUAUAUACUGAGGUCCAGGGAAGAAAGCCAGGCACGUUCACAAGUGGCAAAAGCUAAUUCCUAACAGGUAUUAGCACACAGACAGAGGAGGCAUGGGCUCUUUUGCCAGCAUGUGUCCUCAUUCCCAGCCAAACUGUGCCAGCAAUACCUCUGUUCUGUCCUGGUUGGGACAACAAUGGGCCACGGUCUCCCUGAAGUCAGGGAAGUCAACCAAAGCUGCAAAGAAGCCCUAAUGGAAGACAUUUUGUUUCCUUUAACACAUGGCAAAGCUAACUCUACACACAUCUGCAUAAAGGUGAGAGGUUCUAAUUUCAGGGGACAUAAGAUUCAUGUCUAAGGGAUAGGUUGGGACAAGGGCUUUCAACAAGAAAUGGGUUGACAGAGCAUUCUACUAGUGCCUUAUGUUUUAUUUCUAAUUUGACUUAAAUUUGCACGCUGGGGGUGGAACCCAGGGCCUCGUGAGCAUGCUAAAGCGGGAAGCCUACUGCCCAGCUACACCUCAGCCCUGGUUCUUCCUUUUCAGGUCUUGAUCAUCCAUGGAAGAAGGGAUCAAGAAUUGGUCUUCUAGGGCGAGAGAGAGAGAGAGAGAGAGAGAGAGAGAGAGAGUUAGUUAGUUAGUUCAGAGGUUAAAGGCACUUGUUCCUCUUCCAAGGGACAUGAGUUCAGUUCCCAGCACCCACACCAGUUAACUCACAGCUACAAGUGAUUUCAUUGCCAGGGGAUCCAUCUGGCCUCCACAUAUAGACACACACACACACACACACACACACACACACAAUAGACAUACAAAUAAUAAAAUAAAAAUGAGCUGGUCCUUCAAUUCCUAAGUGGGAAGAAAAAUCCUCGCUUUCAUCUCUAAAGAAUCACUAAGCGCAGUGACUGUCAGAGACGCUCUUCCUAAGGCCAGGGGAAGGUCACAGCCAUGGCUAAAUCCCAGGCAGGAAUUUUUAGGUCUUUGUCCAAUAAGCAGCCUCUCCUCAAAGGCAAGAGGGAAGCCAGCCAGCGUGGAAAAGAGCGCACAGAGGGAUCCUGUCUCCGGCAGAGAAAUGUUUGAUCACCCUUUUAGCUAUGGCUUGGCUGGUGGGAAGUGGAGACAGCGGGGGACAGGGCAGAUCAGUCAUGCCGUUUGGGUCCCUUGUCCAGACUCUCCUUCUUCCAUAGGAGGGAAGACUCAAACAAGGCCAGAACCUCUCUGGUGAAAAAGAAGCUGGAACCACGGAAGGAAGUAGUUUGGCUAUACUGCUCUGAUUAGACUGCAUCUCCCUCCUUUUCCCAUGGAGCCUGUGUUAGGGAAAGGAGAUGAGCUGAGAUCAGAGGGGCAAAGGGCAACAUAAUGAGGAAGGUCUCUCCUCCAGGAUGGAGAAGGAAGAGAUAACAAGCCAUUGGAAUCUGUUUCAUGCGGUGGCAAUGUUAAGAUUUGGGGACAAGACGAAGCCAUUGUUCUAAGGAACCCAAAGAGGGCUGAUGACAUUCUUUGGAUGGCCAUACGUUUAGCAGAGGAGGGAGGAAGAGAUGAAGAUGAAGAGGAGGAGGAGGAGGAGGAGGAGGAGAAGAAGAAGAAGAAGAAGAAGAAGAAGAAGAAGAAGAAGAAGAAGAGAGAGAACAGUAACAGUAACUAGGAAUGGUAUAGACUUUUGAAACCUCAAAGUCCUCUCCCAAGUGACACACCUCUUUCAACAAUGCCACACCUCCUAAUCCUUCCCAAACAGUCCCAUCAAGUGAGGACCAAGUAUUUAAAUAUAUGAGCCUAUGGGAGCCAUUCUCAUACCAAUUUGGGCCUCCCUUAGCUGAGUUACAUAAUAGUGACACAUAAAAUUAGUCAUCACAAUAAGCAGUCUUUUAUAGCUUUUGUGUGUUGAAGCUUAGAGGGGCUACUGACCAGUCAUAAACCUAAUGGUGUACACUGACCUCCCAGUCUUGGCUUUCAGUUAGGUUCCUUCCUACUAUACUGAGCUUUGGGACCGGAAAAGUAGACUUCAUCUCGGAACACCUGUAUCCACUGAAAUGUUUUUAAAAUCACUAGUAUCCUUCCUUGAAAGAAUGGACAUAGGGGAUGAUCUUCAAGGGGACAAGGACUUGAAUAGGUACCUAUCCAAAGAUGUAUAAAUGACCAGCACCAGUGUGAAGACAUGCUAAGUACCAUGAGUUAUCAGGGAAAGGGAAAUCAAACACAGACUGAGGCCUGACUUUAUGCUUAGUGGGAUGACUAAAAUUAAACAUGGAGAAAACAAGUAUUAAAAAAGGCCAUCGAGGGAAGGGGACCCUCAUGCAAUUGCUGCAGGGCUGUAACUGUAGAAAAUGUUUUGUUUCACAGGAAGUUAAAGACUAACCUCACAAUACCAUGAGAAGUGGAAAAAGGGACCCAAACAGAAACCUAUACACCAUGUUGAUUGCAGUCAACAAAAUAGCACAACACUUGGAGGAUGUCUACAAAGGGGUUUUCAGCUCUGAAAUGAAUGGAUCCUGAAAACAUUAAGUUAGGCAAAAUAAGUCAGACAUGAAUAGACAAAUACUGCCUGAGUACACUGACAUGAAGUAUUUAGAAUAGGCAAACUCACAGAGACAGAAAGUAGGUAAGAGUUAACCAGGGGCUGAAGGGAGGGAGAGGGGGAAAGUAUUGCCUAACCCUAAUGGGAGCAGAAUUUCUAUUUGGGGUCAUGAAAAACAUUUAAAAAUAAAUAGUAACAAUGAUUACACAAUAUUGUGUUUGUAAUUAAUGCCCCUGAGUUGUACAU